This 450-nucleotide ribosomal RNA is filed under the name uncultured bacterium. RNAcentral's name for it is "partial 16S ribosomal RNA". It matches the Rfam family "Bacterial small subunit ribosomal RNA", at positions 354 to 796 of the family's 1533-position model. The record is from RNAcentral.
GUGGGGAAUUUUGGACAAUGGGCGAAAGCCUGAUCCAGCCAUGCCGCGUGCAGGAUGAAGGCCUUCGGGUUGUAAACUGCUUUUGUACGGAACGAAACGGUCCGGGUUAAUACCCUGGGCUAAUGACGGUACCGUAAGAAUAAGCACCGGCUAACUACGUGCCAGCAGCCGCGGUAAUACGUAGGGUGCAAGCGUUAAUCGGAAUUACUGGGCGUAAAGCGUGCGCAGGCGGUUUUGUAAGACAGGCGUGAAAUCCCCGGGCUCAACCUGGGAAUUGCGCUUGUGACUGCAAGGCUGGAGUGCGGCAGAGGGGGAUGGAAUUCCGCGUGUAGCAGUGAAAUGCGUAGAUAUGCGGAGGAACACCGAUGGCGAAGGCAAUCCCCUGGGCCUGCACUGACGCUCAUGCACGAAAGCGUGGGGAGCAAACAGGAUUAGAAACCCUGGUAGUCC